AGACUGGCAAUAUUUGCCAAAGAGCUGAUUAGCAUAUAAUCUGAAUAAAGGUCUUCAAGAACUCUAUUAACUCCUAACAACUAACUAUUAAAUGCUUUUAAAUAAAAGAAAAUCUUUUCACCAGUUAACGAACAAAAUUUCCUCUCUAUUUAGCUAUGCAAAAAUUGCAGGAAAGCUAAAGGCCAUCUGUGGGACUGCAUCAUUACUACUAUAGGUAAUAUUGAAUGUACUAUAGGUAAUAUUGAAUGUACUAUGACCCUUUUAGGUACACUAUAUAAUGUAAAGAAAUGUAGAACUGAAUGGAGCAACAGUAUCAUGACUGUUGCAGCAAUGCAGCUAAGAUCCAAGACCAAUGGACAAACUAGUUUUUUCCUCACAGAACAUCCUAUCACGUGUCAUGGGAUCCUUCUUGUCACCACAACACUCUCCAGGUCUCCAUGAGAAACUGAAACCCUGAAUUACUGAAUAGAACAAAAUAUUUACACGACGAACUCUCGCAAAUCCAGAUUCUUUUCCUUGAUAAAGAGGAUGGUGAUUUCAAACUAGCUCAAAACUAUUACACAGAUUUACCCAGAUUUUUCUUGCUCGCUAAGGUGAUUAUUUGAGGUAUGAACAGGAUAAGACACUUAACAAGGUUUGGAAAGAACUAUUGCCUCCCUUCUUGUGUUCAAUUAGUCAUUAGUCUGUGAUCAAUUGAUCAUUACCAUACCCAAGCUUAUCUUUUCACAAUUUGGAGAAAAAAAAUCAACUAGCAAUAGAUAGCAUCCCUGAUAUGUUUCAUUUACUUCCUUUACUAAUGAACUGACCACAAAGCUGCAAGUACAACAUAGAACUAGAAAGAGUGUCUUGUGGGAAAGAAUAAAAAAGUUGAGGGCUAUCAGGAUCUUGCAAAUUAAUGCUACUUCUAUUCAAAUAAAAUUUGAAAAUAACCUUUCCCAUAAGAUCUUCUCAAAGGAUAGCAGUACACGCACCAG
This 974-nucleotide long non-coding RNA is filed under the name Aquilegia coerulea. RNAcentral's name for it is "long non-coding RNA (ACOE_LNC001227)". Lineage: Eukaryota; Viridiplantae; Streptophyta; Magnoliopsida; Ranunculales; Ranunculaceae. The record is from RNAcentral.